GCGCCGGUGGUGUAAGGCGAACAUCGCUGCCCGGAAAGCAGAAGAUGCGCGUUCGAGUCCCGCCUGGCGCA
This is a non-coding RNA of Heligmosomoides polygyrus, 71 nucleotides long. NCBI's taxonomy places the organism in Eukaryota, Metazoa, Nematoda, Chromadorea, Rhabditida, Heligmosomidae. The record is from Rfam.